AACGAACGCUGGCGGCAUGCCUAACACAUGCAAGUCGAACGAGACCUUCGGGUCUAGUGGCGCACGGGUGCGUAACGCGUGGGAACCUGCCCUUAGGCUCGGAAUUAUUCUUCGUAAGGGGUGCUAAUACCGGAUAAUGUCCUCGGAUCAAAGAUUUAUCGUCUUUGGAUGGGCCCGCGUUGGAUUAGCUAGUGGGUAGGGUAAAAGCCUACCAAGGCGUCGCUCCAUAGCUGGUCUGAGAGGAUGAUCAGCCACACUGGGUCUGUGACACGGCACAGACUCCUACAGGAGGCAGCAGUGGGGAAUAUUGGACAAUGGGCGGAAGCCUGAUCCAGCAAUGCCGCGUGAGUGAUGAAGGCCUGAGGGUUGUGAAGCUCUUUUACCCGGGAUGAUAAUGACAGUACCGGAAGAAUAAGCUCCGGCUAACUCCGUG
RNAcentral lists this ribosomal RNA (433 nucleotides) under uncultured bacterium. RNAcentral describes it as "partial 16S ribosomal RNA". It matches the Rfam family "Bacterial small subunit ribosomal RNA", at positions 29 to 507 of the family's 1533-position model. The record is from RNAcentral.